AAGGGAUGCUAAUACCGCAUACGCCCUACGGGGGAAAGCAGGGGAUCACUUGUGACCUUGCGUUAAUAGAUGAGCCUAAGUCGGAUUAGCUAGUUGGUGGGGUAAAGGCCUACCAAGGCGACGAUCUGUAGCGGGUCUGAGAGGAUGAUCCGCCACACUGGGACUGAGACACGGCCCAGACUCCUACGGGAGGCAGCAGUGGGGAAUAUUGGACAAUGGGGGGAACCCUGAUCCAGCCAUGCCGCGUGUGUGAAGAAGGCCUUAUGGUUGUAAAGCACUUUAAGCGAGGAGGAGGCUCUCUUGGUUAAUACCCAAGAAGAGUGGACGUUACUCGCAGAAUAAGCACCGGCUAACUCUGUGCCAGCAGCCGCGGUAAUACAGAGGGUGCGAGCGUUAAUCGGAUUUACUGGGCGUAAAGCGUGCGUAGGCGGCUUUUUAAGUCGGAUGUGAAAUCCCCGAGCUUAACUUGGGAAUUGCAUUCGAUACUGGGAAGCUAGAGUAUGGGAGAGGAUGGUAGAAUUCCAGGUGUAGCGGUGAAAUGCGUAGAGAUCUGGAGGAAUACCGAUGGCGAAGGCAGCCAUCUGGCCUAAUACUGACGCUGAGGUACGAAAGCAUGGGGAGCAAACAGGAUUAGAUACCCUGGUAGUCCAUGCCGUAAACGAUGUCUACUAGCCGUUGGGGCCUUUGAGGCUUUAGUGGCGCAGCUAACGCGAUAAGUAGACCGCCUGGGGAGUACGGUCGCAAGACUAAAACUCAAAUGAAUUGACGGGGGCCCGCACAAGCGGUGGAGCAUGUGGUUUAAUUCGAUGCAACGCGAAGAACCUUACCUGGUCUUGACAUAUUAAGAACUUUCCAGAAAUGGAUUGGUGCCUUCGGGAACUUACAUACAGGUGCUGCAUGG
Molecule: ribosomal RNA, 901 nt
Filed under: uncultured Acinetobacter sp.
Lineage: Bacteria; Pseudomonadati; Pseudomonadota; Gammaproteobacteria; Moraxellales; Moraxellaceae
Description: bacterial SSU rRNA
Rfam family: Bacterial small subunit ribosomal RNA
Source: RNAcentral